UAUAAAGGAAAAAAUAAAUAUUAUUACGAAUUAUCUAUAAUAUUUCCAAAAUCUUAUGAUCACUAGCUAAUCGAUCGAUAAUUCUGAUUUAGCUAAUCACAUUUGCUAAAUCAGAAUUAUCGAAGUAAAAAAACAAAGAAAUCUUUUUGUAUAUAUUUUUCUAAUGAAUACAAAAGAAGCGUAGUUUGUAGCUUUGCUGCACAUUCCUGUCACGUGUUAUAUAGCUGGGAGAAUCCCAGGGAAGAAAGAGAGAGUGAGAGAGAGAGAGAGAGAAAGAGAAGCAAUGGAAAAUUCUUUCGUCCCAAACGACCGUCAUUCUAAUACAUGCACUCUUGAGUAUUCGUCUGUGAAAACGAGGGAGUGUAAGUUCGGGUCUCUUUUGAAAUCACUUAUGUAUCACGUGACAAAACCCUCGAGUGGACCAAUCAGAGCGAACACCAUGAAACGAUCACGUGCUCGGUUAGUGUUUGCUUUGUGAAAGUUUCUUCCUUUCUUCGUUAUUUGGAAUACACAGAUUAAAUGUAUGUAUAUAUGUACGUGUGAUGAAACUUUCGUAUCGAAAAAUCAGAGCGAACACCAUGGAACGAUCACGUGCUUGAUUUGUGUUUCUUUUUUGUAUGGAUUCUUUCUUUUUUAUUCGUACGGCACACAGAUAUUAUUAUCUUUUAGGAAAUAUUUAUUUUAAAUUCAAUGUAUAUAUAUACGUAUAAUGAACUCUCCUCAAGUGUAAAAAUUAGAGCAAACAUUGCGGCAAAUUAUAUGUGUAUAUUUCUUUACGAACGUUUCUUUCUUUAUUCGUUCGACAGGUAAUUAAUACAUUUUUCCAAAAAUAUUUAUUUCAACAAAUCGAACACAAUGUUUUCAUUUUUUGCUUUAUUCUUUUAUUUCUUUUUCUUUUUAAUUCUUUUUUUUAUAGGUUCACGUUUAAUUCAGAUCUAUAUUUUAUACGCUUUAUUUGCCUACUUCUCGAACUUUCGUUUAAUAUUUAUUAUUUUUCUUUUUUUUUUUUUCUUUUUUUUUCAAUAAUGUCCAUGAUAUGCAUUAUCAUAUCUUUCAAUAACCGAAAGAAAUAUUUAAUAUACCAAAGUAUUUAGAUAAAAGUGUUAAGAGAGAGAAAGAGAAAGAGAGAGAGAGAGAGAGAGAGAGAGAGAGAGAUAGAGAGAGAGAGAGGAUAUAAGUUCAUAGUGCAAAUUUGAUCUUGAAACUUUGUUUGUCAAUUAUAAAAGACUAAGAAGAAGAAAGAGGAGAAAUUUAAUUAGUAUUAAUGUUUGAUCUAUCGUGACUAAUGUUUAAUGUUUCAAGUUUUGAAUUUUACUGAUAAAAUAAUUACAUUACAUUUUAUUAUAGAUUAUUUGGAUUAACAUUCCUAUUUACUUGAAAUAAAUCGUUGAUUAUUUUAAUGAUGCGACAUUAAUUAUUGAUAUUAUUUUAUUUCUUUUUCCUUCUGAUUUUUACGUUAAAAAAUUAUGAUUAUGAAUCUUAAAAAAGGUAUACGUAUGCUUUUAUACAUAACACAUUGAUAAUCUACAUCUAACGCUAUCAAUUCUCUGGGUCAUGCAUUUUACGAAUUAAAAUCAAGUACAUUUGUACUUACCGACAAAGAAAAGAAAAAAAAGAUCGUUUAAAUUAUGAGAACUUAUCACUUUUGAGUUGGUCAAAUGCAUUCAUCGUUCAUCGUUAACCGUUUAGACCUUAAGACCUAUAUAAAUACAAAGUUCAAGUUUAACAGAUUUCGUUCAAAUUUAUGAUCUUUUAAAAUACUAUCGCGUGCUUCGACUCUCGUCCGAAUAUGAAUAUAUAUGCGUGUAUGUGUAUUUAGAGCAUACUUAAUUAAUAUAUUCACGGAUAAUUAAGACAAGCCUUCAGAAAUUUGUCAGUAUAAUAUGACAAGCCGUUCUAAGUAAUUCUCUCUUUAAGCAAUGCUUACAAUGUAGAAUUUUAGAUAAUGUAUUAGAGUUACUGUUUAUUUUUCUCGAGUUUACAAUUUAUUUGUGCUAUUGAUUGCUUAAUUUUAAAUUCAAAAGUGAUCGCAUCAAAGAAUACGAGAAAGUGUAAGUGAGAUAAAUAGAUAGAUAGAUACAUAAAUAGAUACAUAAAUAGAUAGAUAGAGAGAGAGAGAGAGAGAGAGAGAGAGAGAGAAAGAGAGAGAGAGAAAAAGAGAGAGAGAGAGAAAGAGAGAUAAACAGGUUAGUUCAAUUUUCAUUUAGUUUCAUUUAAUUAUCAUUAAAUCAGAUCGAAUUAAAUGAUCUCGAGUUCAUCCUAAAUAAUAAAAAUUGGACUUUAGUUUCUGUUGAUUAUUGUUUUGUUACAUUUUAUGAUAGUCUACGUAUAUCAUUUCCCCUUCUUCCUCCAUAGAUUUAUACUUAUAUAUAGAAUCAGUAUAUACGGACUAUGAAUACCCUCUGUGGCAGUGGUUCCCAACCUUUUUCGACUUGCAUAACAUUCGGCAAUUAAUUUCCUUUAAUUUUAUCACGUAAUAAUAUUAGACGAAUUUUUAUAUUCUGUAGAUUACAUAUCUCAGAUUGGGAACCACUACUUCAUGGAAAUCAAUGGUACUAAAAAUUACAAAAUUGAAGUCAAUAUUUGUUGCUAUAAAUAUUUUUAAUUUUUACUUUCCGAAAGCAAAAUCACAGCUACAUAAGAUGUGGUUCGCGCGAUAAUCGUUAAUAAUAAUAAUAAUAAUAAUAAUAUAAUUAUUAACCUAAUAUAAUAUAAUAUAAUAUUAAUAUAAUAAUAAUAAUAAUAAUAAUAAUAAUAAUAAUAAUUAUAA
Vespa crabro (European hornet) is the source of this 2770-nucleotide long non-coding RNA. RefSeq lists it as uncharacterized. The transcript has 2 exons. Lineage: Eukaryota; Metazoa; Arthropoda; Insecta; Hymenoptera; Vespidae. The record is from RefSeq and is a predicted model, not a curated record.